GACGAACGCUGGCGGCGUGCCUAAUACAUGCAAGUCGAACGCAGUGGGGACGGGUGAGUAACACGUGGGUAACCUCCCAUCAGAGGGGAUAACACUUGGAAACAGGUGCUAAACCGAUACUGAUGGAUGGACCCGCGGUGCAUUAGCUAGUUGGUGAGGUAACGGCUCACCAAGGCCACGAUGCAUAGGCGACCUGAGAGGGGUGGCGGCCAAACUGGGACCGAGACACGGCCCAGAACCCUAAGGGAGGCAGCAGUAGGGAAUCGUCGGCAAUGGGCGAAAGGCUGACCGAGCAACGCCGCGGGAGGGAAGAAGGUUUUCGGAUCGUAAAACUCCGUUGGUAGAGAAGCGGUAUCUAACCAGAAAGCCACGGCUAACUACGGGCCAGCAGCCGCGGUAAUAC
This 403-nucleotide ribosomal RNA is filed under the name uncultured bacterium. RNAcentral describes it as "partial 16S ribosomal RNA". It matches the Rfam family "Bacterial small subunit ribosomal RNA", at positions 28 to 526 of the family's 1533-position model. The record is from RNAcentral.